RNAcentral lists this ribosomal RNA (253 nucleotides) under uncultured bacterium. RNAcentral's name for it is "partial 16S ribosomal RNA". It matches the Rfam family "Bacterial small subunit ribosomal RNA", at positions 524 to 776 of the family's 1533-position model. The record is from RNAcentral.
GACAGAGGGUGCGAACGUUGCUCGGAAUUAUUGGGCGUAAAGAGCUCGUAGGCGGUCUGUCGCGUCGGAUGUGAAAACCCGGGGCUUAACCCCGGGCCUGCAUUCGAUACGGGCAGACUCGAGUGUGGUAGGGGAGACUGGAACUCCUGGUGUAGCGGUGGAAUGCGCAGAUAUCAGGAGGAACACCGAUGGCGAAGGCAGUUCUCUGGGCCGUAACUGACGCUGAGGAGCGAAAGCGUGGGGAGCGAACAGG